This 355-nucleotide ribosomal RNA is filed under the name uncultured bacterium. RNAcentral's name for it is "partial 16S ribosomal RNA". It matches the Rfam family "Bacterial small subunit ribosomal RNA", at positions 338 to 710 of the family's 1533-position model. The record is from RNAcentral.
CCUACGGGUGGCAGCAGUAGGGAAUAUUGCACAAUGGGGGAAACCCUGAAGCAGCAACGCCGCGUGGAGGAUGAAGGUUUUCGGAUUGUAAACUUCUAUCGUCAGAGAAGAUAAUGACGGUAUCUAACCAAUAAGCACCGGCUAACUCCGUGCCAGCAGCCGCGGUAAUACGGAGGGUGCAAGCGUUACUCGGAAUGACUGGGCGUAAAGAGCGCGUAGGCGGGAUAGCAAGUCAGAUGUGAAAUCCUAUGGCUUAACCAUGGAACUGCAUUUGAAACUGUUAAUCUGGAGUAUGGGAGAGGUAGGUGGAAUUCUUGGUGUAGGGGUGAAAUCCGUAGAGAUCAGGAGGAAUACU